This 252-nucleotide ribosomal RNA is filed under the name uncultured bacterium. RNAcentral describes it as "partial 16S ribosomal RNA". It matches the Rfam family "Bacterial small subunit ribosomal RNA", at positions 524 to 776 of the family's 1533-position model. The record is from RNAcentral.
UACGGAGGAUGCGAGCGUUAUCCGGAUUUAUUGGGUUUAAAGGGUGCGUAGGCGGACUGUCAAGUCAGCGGUAAAAUUGAGAGGCUCAACCUCUUCCCGCCGUUGAAACUGGUGGUCUUGAGUGGAUGAGAAGUACGCGGAAUGCGUGGUGUAGCGGUGAAAUGCAUAGAUAUCACGCAGAACGCCGAUUGCGAAGGCAGCGUACCGGCAUCCAACUGACGCUGAGGCACGAAAGCGUGGGGAUCAAACAGG